GGUUAAUGUUUAUAUUGGCCCGUCUUAUUUAUUUUAUCGUUUUUUUU
This 47-nucleotide small RNA is filed under the name Arabidopsis thaliana (thale cress). RNAcentral describes it as "ATSL279820". Lineage: Eukaryota; Viridiplantae; Streptophyta; Magnoliopsida; Brassicales; Brassicaceae. The record is from RNAcentral.